Molecule: ribosomal RNA, 2915 nt
Filed under: Hoylesella enoeca
Lineage: Bacteria; Pseudomonadati; Bacteroidota; Bacteroidia; Bacteroidales; Prevotellaceae
Description: bacterial LSU rRNA
Rfam family: Bacterial large subunit ribosomal RNA
Source: RNAcentral
UAAGGAAAGUAACUAAGGGCGUAUGGCGGAUGCCUAGGCUCACGGAGGCGAUGAAGGACGUGAUAAGCUGCGAUAAGCUACGGUAAGGUGCAAAUAACCUUUGACCCGUGGAUUUCCGAAUGGGACAACCCACCUAUCUGUUGGAUAGGUAUCACUAAUCAUUUAGUGAGGCGAACCGAGGGAACUGAAACAUCUUAGUACCUCGAGGAAAAGAAAAUAAAAGAAUGAUUCCCCCAGUAGUGGCGAGCGACCGGGGACUAGCCCAAACCACCGUUGUGGUAACGCAAAGAUGGUGUUGUAGGACUGCGUGAUUGUACUUUAAUUGUGAGAGGAACGUUCUGGAAAGUACGGCCAUAGCGGGUGACAGCCCCUUAUUCGAAGCAAGAUAAGACAUAGCAGAAUCCUGAGUAGUGCGGGGCACGAGUAAUCCCGCAUGAAUCCGCCGGGCCCAUCCGGUAAGGCUAAAUACUCCCGUGAGACCGAUAGUGAACCAGUACCGUGAGGGAAAGGUGAAAAGAACCCCGAUAAGGGGAGUGCAAUAGUUCCUGAAACCAUACGCCUACAAGCUGUCGGAGCUGCUUUUGCAGUGACGGCGUGCCUUUUGCAUAAUGAACCUACGAGUUACCAUGUCUGGCAAGGCUAAGCGUCAUGAGACGCGUAUCCGCAGUGAAAGCGAGCCUGAAUAGGGCGUCAUAAGUCAGAUGGGGUAGACGCGAAACCAAGUGAUCUACACAUGUCCAGGAUGAAGUUCCGGUAACACGGAAUGGAGGUCCGCACGGAUAAGCGUUGAAAAGCUUCCCGAUGAGGUGUGUGUAGGAGUGAAAGGCCAAUCAAACUUGGAGAUAGCUCGUACUCCCCGAAAGGCAUUUAGGUGCCGCGUGUAUCGAUCCCCGUAAGAGGUAGAGCGACCGAUAGGUCAAGAGGGCUUCACCGCCUAUUGAGACCUGACGAACUCCGAAUGCUUAUGGGUAGCAGAUACGCAGUAAGGGGGCGGGUGCUAAGGUCCGUCCCCGAGAGGAGAAGAAUCCAGACCGCCGUCUAAGGUCCCGAAUUUUGCUCUAAGUUAGUCUAACGAAGUGUGGUCCCGGUGACAGCCAGGAUGUUGGCUUGGAAGCAGCCAUUCAUUCAAAGAGUGCGUAACAGCUCACUGGUCGAGGGUCCGUGCAUGGAUAAUAAUCGGGUAUAAGAGCAGAACCGAAGACGCGGGAUAGUAAUGAAUAUUAAAAGUAUCGGUAGGGGAGCAUUCCAUGAGCGUAGAAUGUAGGAGGAUAACUUCUGCUGGAGCUUAUGGAAACGCAAAUGUAGGUAUAAGUAACGCUAAGGAGGGUGAGAUUCCCUCCCGCCGUAAGACUAAGGUUUCCCGGGCAAUGCCAAUCAUCCCGGGGUCAGUCGGGUCCUAAGGCUCAGCCGAACGGCGAGGCCGAUGGCAUACACGGUUAAUAUUCCGUGACUUGCAUAGGGAGCGACGUGGUGACGGAGGCGUGACACUGCCGCGGAGAAACGGAAUUCUCCGUUAAAGGAUGUAGAUGUUGAGGGGAGCAGGCAAAUCCACUUCCCGAGUCGAACUCCGAUAGUAUAUCUCUUUCUUCGGAAAGGGAUAAUAGCGCAGGUAAUCAAACUCCCGAGAAAAACCGCUAAGCAUCCAUCUCUAUGGAACCCGUACCGUAAACGGACACACGUAGUCGGGUAGAAUAUACCAAGGCGUUGAGAGACUCGUGGUUAAGGAACUAGGCAAAUUGACCCCGUAACUUCGGGAAAAGGGGUCCUCACGUUGACUCGUGAGGCGCAGAGAAUAGGUCCAGGCAACUGUUUAACAAAAACACAGGGCUGUGCAAACUCGCAAGAUGACGUAUACAGCCUGACACCUGCCCGGUGCCGGAAGGUUAAGAGGAGAGCUCAUCCGUAAGGAGAAGGUUUGAAUUGAAGCCCCGGUAAACGGCGGCCGUAACUAUAACGGUCCUAAGGUAGCGAAAUUCCUUGUCGGGUAAGUUCCGACCUGCACGAAUGGUGUAAUGAUCCGGACACUGUCUCAACCACGAUCUCAGUGAAAUUGUAGUAUCGGUGAAGAUGCCGAUUACCCGCGAUGGGACGAAAAGACCCCGUGAACCUUUACUGCAGCUUAGCAUUGACCUUGGUCAUCGGAUGUGUAGGAUAGGCCGGAGGCUUCGAAGCAUGGGCGCCAGCCUGUGUUGAGCCAUCCUUGAAAUACGGCCCUUCUGCUGUCUGAGGUCUAACCCGCAGAAAGUGGGGACACUGCUUGGUGGGCAGUUUGACUGGGGUGGUCGCCUCCAAAAGCGUAACGGAGGCUUCCAAAGGUACCCUCAGGCCGAUUGGUAACCGGCCUAAUUAGAGUGCAAUGGCAUAAGGGUGCUUGACUGGGAGGCAGACAUGCCGAGCAGGUAGGAAACUAGGGCAUAGUGAUCCGGCGGAUGUGUAUGGAAACUCCGUCGCUCAAAGGAUAAAAGGUACUCCGGGGAUAACAGGCUGAUCCCCCCCAAGAGCUCAUAUCGACGGGGUGGUUUGGCACCUCGAUGUCGGCUCGUCACAUCCCGGGGCUGGAGAAGGUCCCAAGGGUUGGGCUGUUCGCCCAUUAAAGUGGCACGCGAGCUGGGUUCAGAACGUCGUGAGACAGUUCGGUCUCUAUCUAUCGUGGGCGCAGGAGUUUUGCGUGGUUCUGUCACUAGUACGAGAGGACCGUGAUGGACAGACCUCCGGUUUACCGGCUGUACCGCCAGGUGCACCGCCGGGUAUCUGAGUCUGGUCGGGAUAAGCGCUGAAAGCAUCUAAGUGCGAAGCCCUCCGCAAGAUAAGAACUCCACAUAAGGGUCGUCAUAGACGAUGACGUUGAUAGGGUGCAGGUGUAAAGACGGCGACGUCAAAGCCGAGCACUACUAAUUGCCCGAAAACUUUCCAGC